This 524-nucleotide ribosomal RNA is filed under the name uncultured bacterium. RNAcentral's name for it is "bacterial SSU rRNA". It matches the Rfam family "Bacterial small subunit ribosomal RNA", at positions 8 to 521 of the family's 1533-position model. The record is from RNAcentral.
AGAGUUUGAUCCUGGCUCAGAUUGAACGCUGGCGGCAGGCCUAACACAUGCAAGUCGAACGGUAACAGGAAGAAGCUUGCUUCUUUGCUGACGAGUGGCGGACGGGUGAGUAAUGUCUGGGAAACUGCCUGAUGGAGGGGGAUAACUACUGGAAACGGUAGCUAAUACCGCAUAACGUCGCAAGACCAAAGAGGGGGACCUUCGGGCCUCUUGCCAUCGGAUGUGCCCAGAUGGGAUUAGCUAGUAGGUGGGGUAACGGCUCACCUAGGCGACGAUCCCUAGCGGGUCUGAGAGGAUGACCAGCCACACUGGAACUGAGACACGGUCCAGACUCCUACGGGAGGCAGCAGUGGGGAAUAUUGCACAAUGGGCGCAAGCCUGAUGCAGCCAUGCCGCGUGUAUGAAGAAGGCCUUCGGGUUGUAAAGUACUUUCAGCGGGGAGGAAGGGAGUAAAGUUAAUACCUUUGCUCAUUGACGUUACCCGCAGAAGAAGCACCGGCUAACUCCGUGCCAGCAGCCGCGGU